Long non-coding RNA from Mercurialis annua (annual mercury), 398 nucleotides. RefSeq lists it as uncharacterized. The transcript is spliced from 2 exons. NCBI's taxonomy places the organism in Eukaryota, Viridiplantae, Streptophyta, Magnoliopsida, Malpighiales, Euphorbiaceae. The record is from RefSeq and is a predicted model, not a curated record.
GUUAAUAAUAGCUAGAAUUUUAUUAAUUCUUGCUAUUAUUAUAUUUGCAUAGACUCGACGAAGCGACUAUCGAUAAGGCUCGAGGCAAACGGAUCGAAAUAUCGUCAUGCUUAUUUGAAGAAUUUGGAUAGCAAGUGGGAUGGUAUGAUAUGAUUUGAAGAGUUAAGCUUCCGAAGUUUUAAUUCUCGGAAGUCAUUUGUAUAAGAAGAAAAAGAAGGUUUUCAUUCUAGCGGUCCGCAGUAGUCUAGAUAUUUUAACUAGAAUUUUGUAUAACGCGUUUUUAACUCUGAUAUUAUUUGUAAAUGGGGUCACAUGUAUUUUAAUAUAUGAAAUAUGUUUUGAUUUGCGAAAAAAAUUUACACAGGUUUUUAGGCUUGCUACGGGAUUUGGAGCUACCA